UCCUCGCGGUCAAAUUUCUCCCAUUGUUGCAGGCUUGCAGCUCCCCGUCAUUGGACGCAACCACGAGUUUUGCUUCUUUAUCUGUUUACCGUGGCGACAUUUGUUACGGUAGAGGAGUUGUGCGUCAGUGUUGGUUUCGUAGAUUUUCAUCGGUUGAGUUCGGUAAGUUUAUCAUCACUCAAAAUACUCCCCAACGCAGGUUGUCUUCUUCAUCUUCUCUUCUCUUUAGUCAUUUGGCUUCGUCUAAUUCUAAUCCUAAACAUUCUAAUACAUAUUUCUGCAUUUAUACUUCAAUUUUAAUCCUCCAGCAGUUAUUCGAAAUCUACUCGAGGAAUCAAAUUCAUCGAAAAUACUUCUCAACGGGUCUUAUAUUAAAAUAUUGUUACCAUGAGUAGUACCGGAAAAUCUUGGAUGUACAACAGAAUGCGUAACGGAAUUUUGAAUAGGGAUUUUGUGGCCGGGGUAAAUGAUUUUCUCAAUUAUUUUGUAACCAAGCCCAAGGUAUAUAAGAUUAACAGAAAGAUAAAAUGUCCAUGUAAGUGUUGUGCCAAUGCUCCAUUUCUUCCGGUGGAGGACGUUAAGCAUCACCUAUACACUAAGGGUUUCGUAAGAUUGUACGAGUGAUGGAUAUGUCAUGGUGAAACACAUGAUGAGAGUGGUACCUCCCAGGCAUCGGAGGUCCAACAAAUUGAAGCAUAAAUUGAUCAUAGAAUGGGUUUUUAUGCACAUAUGAUGAUGGAUGUUGUAGGACCAGAGUUUGAGGUUCGUAGGGAAGAGGAGGAUCCUAAUCCUGAAGAUAAGAAACUAUACGAUCUCUUAAGGACAGCAGAUAAGCAAUUGUGGAAAGGUUGUACCAAAGCAACUUUACUAUCAACAGUGGCUAGAAUGGUUACUAUUAAGGCGGAUUUUAAUCUACCUGAGAAAUAGUUUGAUGUGCAGUGCCAGUUGGUGCAUGACAUCAUGCCAGAGGAUAAUUGUUUCGUCAAGAACUUUUAUGAAACCAAGAAGUUGAUUGAGGGUUUGGGUCUUCUAGUAGAAAAGAUAGACUGUUGUCAGUUGGGUUGUAUGUUGUAUUGGAGAGAAGACGCCGAACUAAACAGUUGCAGGUUUUGCAAUAAAGCUUGAUACAAGGAAAAAAAAUGGAAAAAGGGUACUUGUUCGGUAUAUAAUCUACUUUCCGCUCACACCAAGGUUAAAACACUUAUAUGUUUCCUCUCAGAAAGCUUCAUUCCUGUAAUGGCAUGCGGACCAUCGACAUACCAAUGAGGAUGAUAUAUGUCAUCCGUGUGACUCAAAGGCGCGGAAACAUUUGGAUGCAAGAUAUCCAUCAUUUGCAUCGAAGGCUAGAAAUGUGAGAUUGGGUCUUUGCACUGAUGGAUUUCAGCCAUUUGGACAAUAUGGAAAACAAUACUCUUGUUGGCCAGUAGUUGUGACACCAUACAAUCUUCCGUCUAAUAUGUGUUUAAAGGACGAGUAUAAAUUUUUAUCGCUUGUUGUACAGGGAGGUGCAAAUCCAAAACAAAAAAUUGAUGUAUACUUACAGCCUUUGAUAGAAGAGUUGAACAUGUUGUGGAGCGUUGGGGUUGAAACAUUUGAUGUUUUCCGUAAGGAGAAUUUUAUUAUGAGAGCAGCCGUAUUGUGGACUGUAGGUGAUCUCCUCGCUUAUUCGAUGUUGUCUGGUUGGAGUACAUCAGGAAAGACAGCAUGCCCAAUCUGUCAGAAUCAAACUGUGUCUUUUCAUCUCCCUAGUGGUUGUAAGCAAUCGUGGUUUGAUACACAUCGUAGAUUUCUACCGGCCAGUCAUCCAUUUCGAUCUGACAAGAAGAAAUUUAAAGAGGAUAAUUGAUUCACGACCUCCACCGCAUAUUAAAUCUGGGGAUGAUCAAGUUCGGGAACUCGAUCGAUAUGGCUUUUUAAAAGUAACAUAGAUGAAUGCUGAUGAGACUAAUAAAAGGCUAUGCAAAUUAUGCGGGUGGCGUAAAAGAAGCAUAUUCUGGGACUUGCCAUAUUCGAAAGACUUGUUGAUUCGAUAUAAUCUAGAUGUUAUGCACAUUGAGAAGAAUGUGUUUGAAAAUAUAUUCAAUACUAUAAUGGAUGUGAAGGGUAAAACAAAAGACAAUGCUAAAGCACGGGCAGGCAUGACAAUAUUUUGUGAUUAAAAAGAGCUUGAAUUUGAGGCGGCCCGAAAUUGCUAUCCUCUCGCGGCAAACACAAUAGACAAAGCGGGACAAAAAGAAUUCUUAUAUUGGGUUGAAAAGUUAAAAAUGCCUGACGGAUAUAUGUCUAAUUUGCGCCGGUGUGUCAAUAUGACGAAGCACAAGAUGUUCGGAAUGAAAAGCCACAAUUGCCAUGUUUUUAUGCAACGUCUCAUUCCGAUUAGGUUUCGUGAGUUGUUGCCAAAGAAGAUUUUGGGAGCCAUUGACAGAACUGAGCAAUUAUUUCCUUCGUUUGACGUCCAAAACUAUCACGGUGAGUGAUAUGGAAUUAAUAGAGAAAGAGAUCCCGGUGAUUUUAUGUAAAGUUGAGACAAUAUUCAUCCCUGCAUUCUUUGAUAGCAUGGAGCAUCCCCCCAUACACCUACCAUACGAAGCAAGAAUUUGAGGUCCUGUUCAAUUUCGUUGGAUGUAUCCAUUCGAAAGGUAUUGAUGUUUUUAUUUGUUUUAAUACCCUAGUAUGUACUUGUAAAUACUCACCAAUGUGUUUGUCACAGAUUUUUAAAUCGUCUGAAAAAGAUGGUAAAAAAUAAAGCACAUGUCGAGGGAUCAAUUGUUAAUGCAUUUCUCGUAAGAGAAGUUGGAUUCUUUUGUUCACAUUAUUUUGAACAACAUGUGCACACGCGUACAAGAAAUGUGCCGAGACAAGAUGUUGGCGGCCCCUAUUUGCAACGAUGUACAACUAUUGCAGCUUUCAAUCAUUCUGCAUGCUUGCAAGGAAAAGGAAAAAAGCAAUUUCUUACUCCUGUAGAAAGAAAGUCAAUCCAUACAUACUUCUUGCUCAAUUGUCCUGAAGUUGAACCAUUUAUUUUGUAAGUAUAUCACUUAAAAUCAAAUUUGAUUUCAAUAAUAUUUUGAAUAAGCAUCUUAACUAUAAUAUUCUCUAUAGGCUAUUUGAAGAAACAUUAAGGCAGGCAAAUCCCUCAAUAUUUGAUGUUGAACUUGCCUCCGAACUUCAUGCUAAUUUCUCUAGUUGGUUUUCUCAAUAUGUAAGUAAAUCACACUGAAUGAAUAUUUUUUCAACAAGUUAAGUUAACUUCCUACACAUUACAUGGAAUAAAAAUUAUUUGUAAUGUAGGUUUCAAAUCACGUCAAUAUCAAUCUAACUUUCAAAGAUAUUGCACAUGGUCCAUUAGUGGAGGUAAUCACAUAUUCCAUAUGUUCCACACAGAAAAGCAUGGUUCUACCAAGGAGACGUACAAUUGUGGUGUUUGCAUAGAUGGGGGAGGCUUAGUAUAUUACGGAAAACUCCAAGAAAUUAUGGAGGUUGAAUUUCCAGCCCUUCUUAUCAAAAGGUGUGUGGUCUUCAAUUGUGAGUAGUUCAAUCUGACGAGGGGCUUGGGCACUAAAAAACAUGAGAAAUACAAUCUAAUAGAGGUAAAUAAAUAAAAAAAUCUUCGGAGUUACGAAACUUUUAUAUUGGGCAUGCAAGCAUCUCAAGUAUCUUAUAUACCAUUCCUAAGUCUCAAAAAAGACAAGGAAGACUGGUUGGUUGUAUGUCGAGUCAAGCCUCGUGGUUGGAUUGAAGUAAAGAAGAGUGAUACAUAUAUUGUGCCCGUACAUAAAACAUACCAAGAUGCAAUGGUUGAGUCUUGUGCCAUUGAAGGGGUUACCACUGGCAAAAAUUUGAAUUUUAGUGUCUCUUGAAGGUGUUGGGGGAAUACCAUUGGAGGAUUCAGAUCUAUCUGACACCGAUGAAGAGGUUUAUCUCGAAACAUCUGACUCUGAGACUAACUACAUGGAGGAGACUAGCGAUGAAGAUGAUGUUUCAUAUGAAUAGAUGAGGAGAUUGACCAACAGAUAUCAGAUGUUGUUCGAGUUUAUGUUGAGGGGAGACAAGAGAGAGGACGAGGGCAACAAAUAGGACAUACGGAUGAGGUGUACCUGACCAAUCAUGGAGGAUCAACUUCAACGAUAGCGCCUAUCGCUGAUAAUAGCAUUAAGAUCAAUGUAGAGCCAAAUUGAAGUGUCUUGUGGCCUCAAGAAGCCUCAAAGGAGUUCCGGGAUAUCUUUCGUUCAUCCAUCCAUCGUCAAGGCACUUCUUGGAUGAAAGUUCCGCCGAACAUCAAACAGUGGUAUGCAAAGGAAAUGAAGAAGCAUGUUACGUGGGACUCCACUAAUGAGAAGAAAGCCCUAUGUGUGUACAAAAAAAAGGCCCAAAAUGCAUACAAACAGUGGUUGCAUGGCAUCCAGCAUGGAAAAGACAAAAAGGCCGAUGAAGUUCUCGACCCGGAGGCCUUGGCUGAAUGGACGAGGGUUUGGAGCUCUAAUGAUGCCAAAAAGAAAUCGGAGAUUGCAAAGAAAAUUAGGCGGCGGGGUCUUCCAGAUGUUACAUCUGAGGCUACGCAUACAUGAGGGUCUCGGUCAUUUUAUGAGAUGUCCAAGAAGAUGGGAUUGAAUAUGACUGAAACGUAUGUUUGGGCCCAUACAAAGAAACACAACCGGAUUGACUAUGAGGAUUUGGAUGCCAUUGUGGGGGUCCUGACACAGCAAGGCACUACCAGGGUUGAUAUGGACAGGGUGUUUCUAAAAUUUGUUCCACGGAAUAAAAAAAAUUGGAUAUUUGGGCUCGGGUCUUUAGCGAGUACAGUACCCGCUAAUCGAUCGUCUUUCAUGAGCGAUGCUUAUUCUUCGGCCAUUGUAGACAUUGAUCAGCACCUCAAACAAAUGGAAACUAAAUUCAAUGAUCGACUUCAGCAUAUUGAUGAUUAUGUUCACCAUGUGGAUGAUCGGGUGGAGAGUAUUGAACAAAUCCACCAAACCAUCGUCAAUCAAAACCUCAGCAUUAUGGAGGAGCUCCGUAGGUUACGAGCAGACUUCAACCGCCGUGGCCCUAACGGUGAUGCAGGUCCUCCUAUCACAUGAUGAUGUUGUGGCUGCUUGUGAGAUUGUCAGCUGUAAUGUUGUGGAGGUGCAGUGCCAGGGGUCGGUUCCCUCGAUUUUAGUGGACAACACCUCAGGUUACCAGGUGUACUGGUACCUGUAUCAGAAUCAGAUGGCAAAUAGGCGUUAUUCUUAUAGGUGAUAAAUGUAUUAGGUAUAUUGAUGUUUAUAUUUUGUUUUGGGAGACAUUAAAUACUCUUAUUGGUUAUGGAUGCAUUAGAUAUAUUGAAUUUUAUAUUUUUUUGGGAGACAUUAAAUACUUUUAUCGGUUAUGGAUACAUUAGGUAUAUUGAUGCUUAUAUCUUGU
Andrographis paniculata is the source of this 5403-nucleotide long non-coding RNA. RefSeq lists it as uncharacterized. The transcript is spliced from 11 exons. The record is from RefSeq and is a predicted model, not a curated record. Lineage: Eukaryota; Viridiplantae; Streptophyta; Magnoliopsida; Lamiales; Acanthaceae.